UCACAGAAAUUCAUUGCAUCUUCCUGAUAAGUGGAAUGUACGGUCAUACAUACAGACAGCAAACUCACAGUAAUUUCAACAGAUUCAUUAGAUUCUUCAAAUUGUUUUAGCAAUAUGUAGUAUCAACUGUUAGUGUCUCGAGUUUGUUGUUUAGAAAACAUUGUUAGAGCUAUCAGUCUUUCUUACAGAAUGCCUACUAUGAGCCAUCCUCCCUGGGGUUAUUCCUAGAUUUACCUGAAGGCCAUGGCACCCAUACUGUGUACACAAAGGACAUGAAGGUCAUUGUCAGCACAGGACGACUCCGCACCAUCACAGUCAAUAUGUGUGCGUGUGAACCAGAAACCACCGUAGGAUUGUACAGUUGCAUGCAAAAGUAUUCUUGAUAUUUUUCUAUAAAAUAACAACUUCUGAGUGAACCACCAUCAUCACCACGUUACCAUACGAAAUAGUGUUUUCACUGACUGCUGCUUAUACCGUAGGUUAACACACUCUACAGAGCCCUGGUGGGGGAAUCCAUAUCCCAUUUUAGGCAUCAGCACUUCCGACAAAGAAGUUUGGUAGAUAUUUGCCCACAGUUAGAUGAUGGGACCAUAUGCCCAGCAUGUCCAAAGGCAGAUGGAGAUAUGAUUGUGACAUUGGAUGCCAACUUUGGACUUGUGAGGAAGCAAAGCUCAGGUACAAGUGCAGUUGAGCCAUUACAUGGAACCCACAUGUUUGUUGAUGAAAAGGAUAGAGGAAUACCUGCUAUCACAUCUUGACAGCUCAAAGCCUCAUGAGGUAAGUCAUAGAUUUAGUCCAUGAAAUAUUUACUUAACUAUUCCUCCCAUAAAUCUAUGUUUUCCUUAAAUCUUUAGGACUGCAGUAACUUCAAGGCUGGCAACGUGCUGAGGUCACAAAAACAAGCAAAGAAACUUGACGUUACAGGAGUGUUUGGAGCCUGACAAUGACAAAACUAGAAAGAGUGUCACAUCCCUUACAAACUGUCAAAGACACAUACAGAAUCUAUAACCAGAAUCAAUUUCAAUUCAGUUUUAUUUAUAUAGUGCCAAUUCAUAACAAAAAUUCUCACAGCACUUUUUAAACAAAGUAGGUCUAGACCAUACACUUUAUAAUAUUAUUAACAAAGACCCAACAAUUCCCACCAUGAACAAGCACUACUGUAGGUGUUAACUAUUGUUAACAUGUAACCUUAUCAAUUAG
Long non-coding RNA from Cyprinus carpio (common carp), 1200 nucleotides. RefSeq lists it as uncharacterized. Lineage: Eukaryota; Metazoa; Chordata; Actinopteri; Cypriniformes; Cyprinidae. The transcript is spliced from 3 exons. The record is from RefSeq and is a predicted model, not a curated record.